UUAAAUUUCACAAAAAAAAAAUAAAAAUUAUUAGAUAAAAUCUUGGACAAUGGCCUUUGUUAACUUCAAUCUUUGUUGUAUUUUGUUUGCUGCAAUGAUUUUGCUGUCAGGAAUAUCAAAUGGUGAGAAUAAUUUGUCUCAAGAUGUAUCUCUCAAGAUGUUUGGGUUAAAAUGCCACGAAGGUAAUUGCCCAUCCAAUGAGCAAUGCAAUCAAGACUGUCUUAAAAUAGGCUAUAAGAAAGGUGGUAAAUGUUAUGGAAUGAUUCCUCCUAACCGCCUUUGUUGUUGUAAUGAAAAAUGAGAUAUUAUACCCUUAAAACUCAAUAUAAAUAAAAUGCAUGCCUUGAGUAUGUUUUGAAUAUA
This is a long non-coding RNA of Vicia villosa (hairy vetch), 363 nucleotides long. RefSeq lists it as uncharacterized. Lineage: Eukaryota; Viridiplantae; Streptophyta; Magnoliopsida; Fabales; Fabaceae. The transcript is spliced from 2 exons. The record is from RefSeq and is a predicted model, not a curated record.